This is a small nuclear RNA of Mesocricetus auratus (golden hamster), 106 nucleotides long. Lineage: Eukaryota; Metazoa; Chordata; Mammalia; Rodentia; Cricetidae. The record is from Ensembl.
GCACUCGCUUCGGCAGCACAUGUACUAAAAUUGGAACAAUAGAGAGAAGAUUAGCAUGGCCCCUCUGCAAGGAUGACACACAAUUCAUGAAGCAUUGUAUAUUAAA